AGCGAACGCUGGCGGCAGGCCUAACACAUGCAAGUCGAACGGACCCUUCGGGGUUAGUGGCGGACGGGUGAGUAACACGUGGGAACGUGCCUUUAGGUUCGGAAUAGCUCCUGGAAACGGGUGGUAAUGCCGAAUGUGCCCUUCGGGGGAAAGAUUUAUCGCCUUUAGAGCGGCCCACGUCUGAUUAGCUAGUUGGUGAGGUAACGGCUCACCAAGGCGACGAUCAGUAGCUGGUCUGAGAGGAUGACCAGCCACACUGGGACUGAGACACGGCCCAGACUCCUACGGGAGGCAGCAGUGGGGAAUCUUGCGCAAUGGGCGAAAGCCUGACGCAGCCAUGCCGCGUGAAUGAUGAAGGUCUUAGGAUUGUAAAAUUCUUUCACCGGGGACGAUAAUGACGGUACCCGGAGAAGAAGCCCCGGCUAACUUCGUG
RNAcentral lists this ribosomal RNA (433 nucleotides) under uncultured bacterium. Its description in RNAcentral is "partial 16S ribosomal RNA". It matches the Rfam family "Bacterial small subunit ribosomal RNA", at positions 29 to 507 of the family's 1533-position model. The record is from RNAcentral.